This 421-nucleotide ribosomal RNA is filed under the name uncultured bacterium. RNAcentral describes it as "bacterial SSU rRNA". It matches the Rfam family "Bacterial small subunit ribosomal RNA", at positions 917 to 1341 of the family's 1533-position model. The record is from RNAcentral.
GGGCCCGCACAAGCGGCGGAGCAUGUUGCUUAAUUCGAGGCAACGCGAAGAACCUUACCUGGGUUUGACAUUUAGGGAAAAGCCAUAGAGAUAUGGUGUCCUUCGGGGCCCUAAACAGGUGGUGCAUGGCUGUCGUCAGCUCGUGUCGUGAGAUGUUGGGUUAAGUCCCGCAACGAGCGCAACCCUUAUCCUAUGUUGCCAGCGGUUCGGCCGGGGACUCGUAGGAGACUGCCGGGGUCAACUCGGAGGAAGGUGGGGACGACGUCAAGUCAUCAUGCCCCUUAUGUCCAGGGCUGCAAACAUGCUACAAUGGCUGGUACAACGGGCAGCGACACCGCGAGGUGAAGCGAAUCCCUUAAAGCCAGUCUCAGUUCGGAUUGCAGGCUGCAACUCGCCUGCAUGAAGCUGGAAUCGCUAGUAA